Molecule: ribosomal RNA, 311 nt
Filed under: Ectothiorhodospira mobilis
Lineage: Bacteria; Pseudomonadati; Pseudomonadota; Gammaproteobacteria; Chromatiales; Ectothiorhodospiraceae
Description: partial 23S ribosomal RNA
Rfam family: Bacterial large subunit ribosomal RNA
Source: RNAcentral
GGGUGAGCCGGCUCCUAAGGCGAGGGCGAAAGCCGUAGUCGAUGGGAAACAGGUGAAUAUUCCUGUGCCUGCUAGAAGUGACGAAUGCGAGAUGUUGUCAGGUCUUAUUGGAUUGAUCUGGCUUUUUAAGCAUUCCAGGAAAUAGCUCUAGCAUAUAGACCGUACCCUAAACCGACACAGGUGGACUGGUAGAGUAUACCAAGGCGCUUGAGAGAACUAUGCUGAAGGAACUAGGCAAAUUACUCGCGUAACUUCGGGAUAAGCGAGACCCAAUUGUGGGCAACCAUGAUUGGGUGGCACAAAAGAGGGGG